Molecule: ribosomal RNA, 198 nt
Rfam family: Eukaryotic large subunit ribosomal RNA
GUGAAAAGACAUAGGAGGUGUAGAAUAGGUGGGAGCUUCGGCGCCGGUGAAAUACCACUACUCCUAUUGUUUUUUUACUUAUUCAAUGAAGCGGGGCUGGAUUUACGUCCAACUUCUGGUUUUAAGGUCCUUCGCGGGCCGACCCGGGUUGAAGACAUUGUCAGGUGGGGAGUUUGGCUGGGGCGGCACAUCUGUUAA